UCAAACUUGGUCAUUUAGAGGAAGUAAAAGUCGUAACAAGGUUUCCGUAGGUGAACCUGCGGAAGGAUCAUUAACGUAUCUCUGACGGGGUGCGGUGCGCCCUGCUCCGGCCCGAACGGCCGUGCAGCGGGCUCCCGUCCCUGUUCACACCUUCACAAACCACCGUGAACCUCCACGGCAGAGGGAGGGCGACCUCCCGAAGCCGCAUACAAACACCAGUUGUAACGAAUGUCGUGCGGACUCUGUCCGCCUAAACACAAAACAACUUUCAACAACGGAUCUCUUGGCUCUCGCAUCGAUGAAGAACGCAGC
Molecule: unclassified non-coding RNA, 312 nt
Filed under: uncultured fungus
Lineage: Eukaryota; Fungi
Description: partial contains small subunit ribosomal RNA, internal transcribed spacer 1, and 5.8S ribosomal RNA
Rfam family: Eukaryotic small subunit ribosomal RNA (bases 1-73)
Source: RNAcentral